UCCAGGCCCUACGGGGUGCAGCAGGCGCGAAACCUUUACAAUGCACGCAAGUGUGAUAAGGGGAUUCUAAGUGCUCAUGCAUAGCAUGGGCUUUUGCCAAUCGUAAAUAGUUUGGCGAAUAAGUGGUGGGUAAGACUGGUGCCAGCCGCCGCGGUAACACCAGCGCCACGAGUGGCAACCACGUUUAUUGGGCCUAAAGCGUCCGUAGCCGGUUAGAUAAAUCUCUUGUGAAAUCGUCAGGCUCAACCUGACGGCGCGCUUGAGACACUGUUUAACUCGAGACCGGGAGGAGUCAAAAGUAUUCCUGAGGGGGCGGUAAAAUGUGAUAAUCUCAGGAGGACUAUCUAUGGCGAAGGCAUUUGACCAGAACGGAUCUGACGGUGAGGGACGAAGGCCAGGGGAGCGAUCCGGAUUAGAUACCCGAGUAGUCCUGGCAGUAAACGCUGCGAGCAAGAUGUUGCGCAUCUUCUGAGGAUGUGCAGUGUCGAAGCGAAGGCAUUAAGCUCGCCGCCUGGGAAGUACGGUCGCAAGACUGAAACUUUAAGGAAUUGGCGGGGGAGCACCACCAGGGGUGCGGCGUGCGGUUUAAUCUAACUCAACGCAGAGAACCUUACUAGAAGCGACGGCAGGAAGAAGGUCAGCUUGAAGAGCUUACCAGACGAGCCGAGAGGUAGUGCAUGGCCGCCGUCAGCUCGUGCCGUAAGGUGUCCAGUUAAGUCUGGCAACGAGCGAGACCUAUACCCUCUAUUGCUAACAGCCACAUGUGGGACUGGGCACUUUGAGGGGACUGCCUUGGAAACAAGGANGAAGGUGUANGCAACGGUAGGUCUGUAUGCUCCGAAUCUUCUA
Molecule: ribosomal RNA, 849 nt
Filed under: uncultured archaeon
Lineage: Archaea
Description: bacterial SSU rRNA
Rfam family: Archaeal small subunit ribosomal RNA
Source: RNAcentral